GCCACAUGCAGGGCCAUGAGGCUGGGUAAUACGGUUGGGCAUGGCGUUGUGCGGAUUUAUGGGGCGGUAAGCUGGCGCGUGUGGGUGUAGAAGUCGUGAGUAAAAGGCAGUGGCUGAACCAUUGUGGGCUUUGGAAACUGUACAACUUGAGUGCAGAAUGUGAGAGUGGAAUUCCAUGUGUAGCGGUGAAAUGCGUAGAUAUAUGGAGGAACACCGGUGGCGAAAGCGGCUCUCUGGUCUGUAACUGACACUGAGGCUCGAAAGCGUGGGGAGCAAACAGGAUUAGAUACCCUAUUAGUC
Molecule: ribosomal RNA, 300 nt
Filed under: uncultured Lactobacillus sp.
Lineage: Bacteria; Bacillati; Bacillota; Bacilli; Lactobacillales; Lactobacillaceae
Description: bacterial SSU rRNA
Rfam family: Bacterial small subunit ribosomal RNA
Source: RNAcentral